UGGGGAAUAUUGGUCAAUGGACGCAAGUCUGAACCAGCCAUGCCGCGUGAAGGAUUAAGGUCCUCUGGAUUGUAAACUUCUUUUAUCUGGGACGAAAAAAGGCGAUUCUUCGUCACUUGACGGUACCAGAUGAAUAAGCACCGGCUAACUCCGUGCCAGCAGCCGCGGUAAUACGGAGGGUGCAAGCGUUAUCCGGAUUCACUGGGUUUAAAGGGUGCGUAGGCGGGCAGGUAAGUCAGUGGUGAAAUCCUAGAGCUUAACUCUAGAACUGCCAUUGAUACUAUCUGUCUUGAAUAUUGUGGAGGUAAGCGGAAUAUGUCAUGUAGCGGUGAAAUGCUUAGAUAUGACAUAGAACACCUAUUGCGAAGGCAGCUUACUACGCAUAUAUUGACGCUGAGGCACGAAAGCGUGGGGAUCAAACA
Molecule: ribosomal RNA, 422 nt
Filed under: uncultured Sediminibacterium sp.
Lineage: Bacteria; Pseudomonadati; Bacteroidota; Chitinophagia; Chitinophagales; Chitinophagaceae
Description: bacterial SSU rRNA
Rfam family: Bacterial small subunit ribosomal RNA
Source: RNAcentral